AGUCGUAACAAGGUAUCCGUAGGUGAACCUGCGGAUGGAUCAUUAACAAAGGUGAUUUUGAAGUUGUGUGAACAGUUGGAGGUGGUGGUGGUGGUGGUGGUAUUGGGUGGUACUGGGUGGUAUUGGGUGGUAUUGGGUGGUAUUGAGUGGUGUAACCUUGGUCUAACCUUGGUCAACCUCACUCAACCUCACUCAACCUCACUCUCCCACUCUCCCAACCUCCACCACUCCGUCCCUAUAAUGUAUACAAACUGAUGUCUGCUAGUUUCAAACUAAAACAACUUUUAGCAACGGAUCUCUUGGCUCUC
This 308-nucleotide unclassified non-coding RNA is filed under the name fungal sp. Its description in RNAcentral is "partial internal transcribed spacer region". The stretch from base 1 to 45 matches the Rfam family "Eukaryotic small subunit ribosomal RNA", at positions 1787 to 1831 of the family's 1831-position model. Lineage: Eukaryota; Fungi. The record is from RNAcentral.